RNAcentral lists this transfer RNA (67 nucleotides) under Dolichoris vasculosae. Its description in RNAcentral is "tRNA-Met". The record is from RNAcentral. Lineage: Eukaryota; Metazoa; Arthropoda; Insecta; Hymenoptera; Agaonidae.
UUAAAGAUAGAUUAAAUUUAAAAUUAUUAGACUCAUAAUCUAAAGAUAGACUGUUGGCUUCUUUAAA